GGGGCCGUAACGGUAUCGACAGGUUGGCGAAAGCUUGGUCGUGAUGCAGGUCGAGAGGGAGUUGUCUCUCGUAAAUAAAAGACUCAAAAAAAAUGUAACUGCGAAUAACAUCGUACCCUUUGCUCGUAAAGCAGCACUUGUUGCCUAAGAACCUAUAAACGGUUUCGAGCGUUCGUAGUCUGACUCCGUUAAAGGCUACGGGCAUAACCCUAACGGAUGCACUACUUUAGCUACCUCUGGUUGGCGAUCGUAGUUAAGACUUCACCAGAGAAUCCCAUCGUCAGGGACAAGUGACGGUUCCCGCCCUGAGGAUUAAAAGGGCUAAACCUGUGAAAGAGUGGUCGGUAAAUACCCAAUUUGGACAGCAGUUCGACUCUGCUCGGCUCCAUUU
RNAcentral lists this transfer-messenger RNA (391 nucleotides) under Gloeocapsa sp. PCC 73106. It matches the Rfam family "transfer-messenger RNA". From Rfam's summary of the family: Bacterial tmRNA, also known as 10Sa RNA or SsrA, is named for its dual tRNA and mRNA-like properties. The record is from Rfam by way of RNAcentral. Lineage: Bacteria; Bacillati; Cyanobacteriota; Cyanophyceae; Chroococcidiopsidales; Chroococcidiopsidaceae. RNAcentral also lists the same sequence under 1 other name.